AACGAUGGUUGAUUGCUAUCCGGAGGAGCGACGAAUCAAACCAAGGCAAGAUGUGGAAACCGUCACCUCACAGUGUUGUGUGUCAUUCCCACUUCAGACCGUCUGAUUUCAUUGCUGUAACUAGUUAUGGUGCUUGUUUUCCACAGAGAUGAGGCACAGAUGAUUCAAGAAUACAGGGUGUACACCUCUGAGGAAACAGAGAAAACCAGAUGCUGUACCAUCAAUCUUUCCCUGGACUGCAUCCGCCAACGCACUUGAGGCCGAUGGAGGCUUAAGGAAAUCCCGCAUUGAAAGACGUGAGAGCCAAAAGAGGACAUUUAAAGCAAUGGAUACAGAUUGUGAUAUUGAAUGUGAUAUCAGUGAGGUAGCUGGGGAGGAAAUAAUUGACAAUGUUGAGUUUGAUGACAUGAAUACCGACUUAAACAUUUGUUCCGCAGAUAGUGCAGAGGUUGAAUAUGAAAGUACAUCAGCUCAGACAGACAAAUUUCCAAUGCUUUCAAUACAAAGUAUUAUGUUUAAUGCUGCAGCAAUUUUGUUUUAUACAGGACUGUCAAACUAUACAGACUUCACCUUUGUACUUGCAAGUUUGGGUCCGUGUGCAUAUCACCUAAAUUAUUUGUACAGCAAAGUUGACAGUAUGACUAUCAGUGUGGAAAAUCAAUUGCUUUUAACACUUAUGAAACUGCGCCGACAUAAGACUAACUUUGAACUUGGUCUUCAUUUUGGAAUUUCAGAGAAAACUGUAUUAAAUGUAUGGAUCACCUGGGUAAAUUUUAUGUAUAGACAGUGGAGUGAGCUUGAUAACUGGCCAGAACGAGACUUAGUGCACUAUUUUUUUCCUUCUGAUUUCAAAUCCAAAUUUCCAUCCACACGAAUUAUCAUUGAUGGUACUGAAUGCCCUAUCCAGAAACCAAAACGCCCCAUAGCUCAGCAGUCUACCUACUCAACGUAUAAAAAUCGAAAUACUAUCAAAAUACUUGUUGGAUCCACACCAGGUGGUCUUGUGUCGUAUGUGUCUCCUGCGUAUGGUGGCUCCACAAGUGAUCGUCAAAUAGUAGAGCGUAGUGGUUUGACAGUGAUGUGUGACCCAGGAGAUAGUAUUAUGGCUGA
Long non-coding RNA from Haliotis rufescens (red abalone), 1110 nucleotides. RefSeq lists it as uncharacterized. The transcript is spliced from 3 exons. The record is from RefSeq and is a predicted model, not a curated record. NCBI's taxonomy places the organism in Eukaryota, Metazoa, Mollusca, Gastropoda, Lepetellida, Haliotidae.